RNAcentral lists this ribosomal RNA (274 nucleotides) under uncultured bacterium. RNAcentral describes it as "partial 16S ribosomal RNA". It matches the Rfam family "Bacterial small subunit ribosomal RNA", at positions 523 to 796 of the family's 1533-position model. The record is from RNAcentral.
AUACGAAGGUCCCAAGCGUUAUUCGGAAUCACUGGGCGUAAAGAGUAUGUAGGCGGUUUGGUAAGUCAGGUGUGAAAUCCCGGAGCUCAACUUCGGAACUGCAUCCGAUACUGCCAGACUAGAGUAAUGGAGAGGCAGGUGGAAUUCUCGGUGUAGCAGUGAAAUGCGUGGAUAUCGAGAGGAAGACCAAUGGCGAAGGCAGCCUGCUGGACAUUUACUGACGCUGAGAUACGAAGGCUAGGGGAGCGAAAGGGAUUAGAAACCCCGGUAGUCC